CUCGGCAACGGAUAUCUCGGCUCUCGCAUCGAUGAAGAACGUAGCGAAAUGCGAUACUUGGUAUGAAUUGCAGAAUCCCGUGAACCAUCGAGUCUUUGAACGCAAGUUGCGCCCGAAGCCAUUAGGCUGAGGGCACGUCUGCCUGGGCGUCACGC
RNAcentral lists this ribosomal RNA (155 nucleotides) under Origanum majorana. RNAcentral describes it as "5.8S ribosomal RNA". It matches the Rfam family "5.8S ribosomal RNA". Rfam says of the family: 5.8S ribosomal RNA (5.8S rRNA) is a component of the large subunit of the eukaryotic ribosome. The record is from RNAcentral. Lineage: Eukaryota; Viridiplantae; Streptophyta; Magnoliopsida; Lamiales; Lamiaceae.